CGGGAGGCAGCAGUGGGGAAUAUUGCACAAUGGGGGAAACCCUGAUGCAGCAACGCCGCGUGGAGGAUGACACAUUUCGGUGCGUAAACUCCUUUUAUAUGGGAAGAUAAUGACGGUACCAUAUGAUAAGCACCGGCUAACUC
This 143-nucleotide ribosomal RNA is filed under the name uncultured bacterium. RNAcentral's name for it is "partial 16S ribosomal RNA". It matches the Rfam family "Bacterial small subunit ribosomal RNA", at positions 342 to 503 of the family's 1533-position model. The record is from RNAcentral.